AUAUCUAACAAUAACCAUGGUAGCCAUGACCUGUAAGAAAACUUAGAGCAGAUGGCUUCCUUGUUAAGAGCGAUUUGAUCACUGUUUUGAAAUAUCAAUAUCAUCAAAUUCUCAAGAAUUAAACCAAACCCACUUGAGAAAUCCAUUAAAUUCUUCCAGAAACGGUUCAGCUAUGCAUUACACCCUAAGAAACAAACAAAAAUCCAAAAUUCUCCACACUGAAACUGACCCAGUUCAGAAUUCUGACAAAAGAAUGCGAGAAACCACACCUGAGUGACAUCCUCAGCAAUG
This 291-nucleotide unclassified non-coding RNA is filed under the name Hevea brasiliensis (rubber tree). The record is from RNAcentral. Lineage: Eukaryota; Viridiplantae; Streptophyta; Magnoliopsida; Malpighiales; Euphorbiaceae.